GGGAAAAAUUGUUUGUACCAACAAAAAUAAAAACACAAAGUUAAUUAUGUUUUAUCAUUUUUUUAUGUUUAGGUUGUCAGCAAGAUGAAAAGAACAAAUAUUCAGUUCAAAAGUCAAAAUGUGGAUAAGCUGAGGUUCAAGGUCCUACCUUUUGCAGAUUUUCAUAUUUUGCAUGAAUGAAUUUAAAGUUUAUAUCAUGGACGGCAGAGAAAGAAAAAAAAAACUUUGCAUUUUUCCUGCUUCUGAAGGAUAAAUAUAAAAC
This 262-nucleotide long non-coding RNA is filed under the name Mytilus galloprovincialis (Mediterranean mussel). Lineage: Eukaryota; Metazoa; Mollusca; Bivalvia; Mytilida; Mytilidae. The record is from RNAcentral.